RNAcentral lists this ribosomal RNA (285 nucleotides) under Triticum aestivum (bread wheat). RNAcentral's name for it is "partial small subunit ribosomal RNA". The record is from RNAcentral. Lineage: Eukaryota; Viridiplantae; Streptophyta; Magnoliopsida; Poales; Poaceae.
AUGUCCUUGAAAGCAGCCAGCUCAUUUGGUUUAUGGAGUCUCAGUAAAGUUUCAACAGUAACAAUCUGCAAGACAAGCUUCGGUAUACUGAACCCAGAGAGCAUUACAACAUUGGAUGCUGAUGCUUCAUCAGCAGAAGCACUGCCGUCUAGAGCUUUGGCAACCUGAGUAUACAGGAAUGAUUUCCUUUCUCUCUCUGACGAUAAGAUAGACCCAAGGGCAACAGAACUUUCUACCAGUGCCUGUAGGACCGCAGAUGGUUCAGGAAAUGGGCAGACCACAUAA